RNAcentral lists this ribosomal RNA (466 nucleotides) under uncultured bacterium. Its description in RNAcentral is "partial 16S ribosomal RNA". It matches the Rfam family "Bacterial small subunit ribosomal RNA", at positions 339 to 795 of the family's 1533-position model. The record is from RNAcentral.
CUACGGGUUGCAGCAGUGGGGAAUAUUGGACAAUGGGGGAAACCCUGAUCCAGCAAUGCCGCGUGUGUGAAGAAGGCCUGCGGGUUGUAAAGCACUUUCGGUUGGGAGGACUGCUUCUAGCACUAAUAUUGUUGGAAGUUGACGUUACCUUCAGAAGAAGCACCGGCUAACUCCGUGCCAGCAGCCGCGUGUAAUACGGAGGGUGCAAGCGUUAAUCGGAAUUACUGGGCGUAAAGCGCGCGUAGGCGGCUAGAUCAGUCGGGUGUGAAAGCCCCGGGCUUAACCUGGGAACUGCAUCCGAUACUGUCUAGCUUGAGUACAGGAGAGGAGAGUGGAAUUCCACAUGUAGCGGUGAAAUGCGUAGAUAUGUGGAGGAACACCAAUGGCGAAGGCAGCUCUCUGGCCUGAUACUGACGCUGAGGUGCGAAAGCGUGGGGAGCAAACAGGAUUAGAUACCCUUGUAGUC